UGGGGAAUAUUGCGCAAUGGGCGAAAGCCUGACGCAGCGACGCCGCGUGAGGGAUGAAGGUUUUCGGAUCGUAAACCUCUGUCAGAAGGGAAGAAACCGCACUGUGCUAAUCAGCAGUGCCUUGACGGUACCUUCCAAGGAAGCACCGGCUACCUCCGUGCCAGCAGCCGCGGUAAUACGGAGGGUGCAAGCGUUAAUCGGAAUUACUGGGCGUAAAGCGCACGUAGGCUGCUUUGUAAGUCAGGGGUGAAAUCCCACGGCUCAACCGUGGAACUGCCUUUGAUACUGCUUAGCUUGAAUCCGGGAGAGGGUGGCGGAAUUCCAGGUGUAGGAGUGAAAUCCGUAGAUAUCUGGAGGAACAUCAGUGGCGAAGGCGGCCACCUGGACCGGUAUUGACGCUGAGGUGCGAAAGCGUGGGGAGCAAACAGG
This 429-nucleotide ribosomal RNA is filed under the name Fusobacteriota bacterium. RNAcentral describes it as "Fusobacteria bacterium partial 16S ribosomal RNA". It matches the Rfam family "Bacterial small subunit ribosomal RNA", at positions 355 to 776 of the family's 1533-position model. Lineage: Bacteria; Fusobacteriati; Fusobacteriota. The record is from RNAcentral.